GACGUAGGGCGCGAGCGUUGUCCGGAUUUAUUGGGCGUAAAGAGCUCGUAGGCGGUUUGUCGCGUCUGCUGUGAAAACUCGGGGCUUAACUCCGGGCCUGCAGUGGGUACGGGCAGACUAGAGUGCGGUAGGGGAGACUGGAAUUCCUGGUGUAGCGGUGGAAUGCGCAGAUAUCAGGAGGAACACCGAUGGCGAAGGCAGGUCACUGGGCCGCAACUGACGCUGAGGAGCGAAAGCAUGGGGAGCGAACAGG
Molecule: ribosomal RNA, 253 nt
Filed under: uncultured bacterium
Lineage: Bacteria
Description: partial 16S ribosomal RNA
Rfam family: Bacterial small subunit ribosomal RNA
Source: RNAcentral